CUCAAUAAGCCCAAGCCCAACCAAAAUGUCAUCAGCCUCUCUUUGACAUAUUAGCCUCUCUUUGACAAGAGCGAUUCUCUCUGUCUCUACCAUUAUUGAUUGAUCGUACAAUGGGAGAUCCGCGGCUGCUCCGUUGAUCUGUGAACUUGCUACGGCGAUUCGCUCCGUCGAUCCGUGGACUUUCUCUGGAAACUUGCUCAAUCAACUUGCUUUGGUCAUUUUGUUCUUCCAUUAGAUUUCCUCUGUCAAUUGCUCAAUCAAUUUCACAUUUGCUCUCUUAUAGUCUCUUUUUCUAAUAUUGUGAAUAUUAAAUCUGUAUACCUCUCUCUUAUUAUCUCCAUCACUUUCGAUUUUGUUUGGAUGUAAGUCUUUUAGUGUAUAAAUAGAUAAAUGUUAGGGUUUAUAUUAUGAAUUUCUUCAAAUUAAUGUUUUAGGAUUUUCUUAUUGGUAUUUAAGGACUAGCUUUUGCUUUGAAAUAGUUCUGUAUGUUCAAAUGUGAAGCUGGAAUUGAUAUAUCUUCAUAUGUAUUAUAUAUAUACUUAGUCUUGUACUUAGUAGUCCGUAGUGAGCUUUGGUGUGAUCCUCUUUUUAUCUUUCAAAAUUUUAUAUGAAGUUUUUCACAUUGUUGGAUGCACGCACAAAAAUGGUUUCUUAUUUGUACUGUUGUAACAUCAUAGUGUACUUAGCAUAAAGGCCCCCGCUGAAGUUAUUUACUGCAACCUGUUUGUUCUCAUUUUUCUUGUAUAAUGUUUUGUUCGGUGUGUCAAUUCUUGUUAUUUGUUUGUACCGCAGGUGUGGUUAAAUAUGAGAAAUGAAUGUUUGUUCUUCUAGUUAUAUUAGUUCAUGUGUGUUUUAUCUGCUUACAACUAGUUAAAUAUAUACAUAUAUAUUUGGAUUCAUAUGCUCUUUAUUAAUUUUCUUUUAUUUUCAGACUUUCUAUGGCCACUGCUGAGGUAGGCAGCAUGAAAAUGGGCAUCACAACUCAGCUGUUCAUUUGUUUUCUUUUGCAGAGGAAGAUUAAGUCCUGACAUAUAAGUCUCAUGACUCUUAAAUUUGUUUUGUAUAGUUUUGAACAUAUUUUCUCUAGUAUUUUUUCUUAUUGAUGCCUACUCAAUUCAAAAAUGAAUUCUGAAUGAUUUUUUCUACUGCUGUCCUUAUUUAUUUAUUUAUUUUCAGAGUCCAUUGUUAUUCAUAAUUAAUAUGGUGUUCUUUCAUUUGAUCGAAGUCAUAUCUUUAUUCUAUUCAAAGUUUUCUAUUUUUAUUUAGUUUGCUCUUGUAUUCUAUUUACUUGUUCACAAUCAAUGAAAUGAUUACAUCACAUUUCCAUAUGUAAAAGUUGACUGGCUCACUGAUUAGCUUUCAAAAUUCUUACUUAUUCUGUUAUAUUUGUUUAAUAUAUUUAUGUUCUGAUUAUAUCAUUGUAUUGCUUUGUUAUGGUAUUAUUGUCAAAUCUGAAUUAAAGCCUUGUUUUGUUUGUGUUCAAUAUGAUCAGGUACUGAUUUUGAUUGGCUUGGAGUUGUUUGAUACAAAGAUUGGGAGCACUUUGUUAUCUCUCAGGGAUGGAAGUAUUUCACAGUGGUUGAGGUGAAUUGAUACCAGAAACACUGCUAUUAAUCUUUACAAAUUUACCAGAUAAACUUCACUUAGUACCACUCAUUUGCAAGUCAUGGAGCAAAGUUAUUUUUGGGCCUGAUUGUUGGCAUGACUUACUAGACAUUAAUGAUUCUCAUAAUGCUUACCUGUUUACACAAGACUUUGAAGAACUAAGAAUCUCUGAUGUUUUUUAGUCAAUGCAUUUUGCACUAUUAUAAAGCUUACCUUUUAAUACUUUGCUCUAAAGAUAUAUUGACAUUCUUAAGGCCGACUGAGUUGGUGUUUGAGACUUAUUGUAGUAUUUUUUAAUAGUGAAUGUUUUGAGUUUAUUGGAUA
Molecule: long non-coding RNA, 1929 nt
Organism: Humulus lupulus (European hop)
Lineage: Eukaryota; Viridiplantae; Streptophyta; Magnoliopsida; Rosales; Cannabaceae
Exons: 2
Source: RefSeq, a predicted model, not a curated record